UACGAAGGGAGCUAGCGUUGUUCGGAAUUACUGGGCGUAAAGCGCACGUAGGCGGGUCGUUAAGUCAGGGGUGAAAUCCCGGAGCUCAACUCCGGAACUGCCUUUGAUACUGGCGAUCUUGAGAUCGGAAGAGGUGAGUGGAAUUCCCAGUGUAGAGGUGAAAUUCGUAGAUAUUGGGAAGAACACCAGUGGCGAAGGCGGCUCACUGGUCCGAUACUGACGCUGAGGUGCGAAAGCGUGGGGAGCAAACAGG
Molecule: ribosomal RNA, 253 nt
Filed under: uncultured bacterium
Lineage: Bacteria
Description: partial 16S ribosomal RNA
Rfam family: Bacterial small subunit ribosomal RNA
Source: RNAcentral